This 601-nucleotide unclassified non-coding RNA is filed under the name Hevea brasiliensis (rubber tree). Lineage: Eukaryota; Viridiplantae; Streptophyta; Magnoliopsida; Malpighiales; Euphorbiaceae. The record is from RNAcentral.
UUCAAAUUAGCUAUAGAGAGCCUGUUACAUAUGUCACUAUAUCUAUUCAUCAUUCUUCUUGGUGUGGCAUUUCUGAGUGGUUAUGGUUUUACAUUUCAGUGUUAAUUACAAACCCAACUCUUUCUGGAAUUUUCUCUAGUGAUACACUUCGGUCCUCUGUUUCAAAAUUAGCAAUUGUAGUCCCUUAAGGUUCAUUAAUAAUUCAAAACUUUACUCCUUGGUUAUAAAUCCUUGGUUAUAAAAUUAUGAAAUUUUCAUUACACUUUAGUUCCUACACAUUUUACAAUAAAUUACACUUUGGUUCCUCUGAACGUAUGCUUUUAGUCCCUGAAUUACACUAAAACACUCUAGUCUGUAUACACUGGUGGUAGUAUAGGGACUGAAAUUGCUAGUUUUGGAACAAAAGAGACCACUGUAUUUGAGGUAAACAUCAAAGGGUUUUUGUUAUUCAAACCAAUGUUUUAAAAUGAAACAUGAUUCGGUAAUGUUAAAUCUUGGUAUGAUCUGCUUCUAGGCUAUCUGAUAUAUUUAUGUUCAUUUCUUGCUUUUAUUCAUAUAUUUGUAUAUAGAAAUUUUAUUUACUUUUUUGGUUGAAAUUCCU